Non-coding RNA from Mycena latifolia, 93 nucleotides. Lineage: Eukaryota; Fungi; Basidiomycota; Agaricomycetes; Agaricales; Mycenaceae. The record is from the annotation of a GenBank genome assembly.
GGCUUGUUGGCGUAAUGGUAAUGCAUUCUGUGUACCUAUAGCAUUCGCAUAUCGGUUGAUGGAAGGUUCGGAGUUCAAUUCUCUGUCAAGCCA